UUAAGGAGAGUCUGAGAGAGCUGGGACUGUUUAGCCACAAUAGAGUGGUAGGAACUAGAAUAUAUUUAGGGUACCUUCCAACUCUAGACAGCCUAUGAAUCUCUGGUUCUAUGGUUCCAUGAUGUGUAAGAGCUGGAACUAGCUGAGGACGCAGUCAACGUGCAAGGUUUGUUUGCUGCCCCUGUGUCACCAAUUGUGACACAGCAGAACUCACCACAGGCUCCAGCAGAGCCUGCUGCCUGUGCCUUACGAGCAGGUCCCUGGAAUGCCGGCAUGGAUACGCAGCACUCUCUGAAGGGCUUUGCUUUGCUGUUAACGACAUCAGGGCACUUAGGAUCAUGAGCAAUUGCCUUCCUUCUCUGGUUGCCUCGUUGCCUGGAAUAAUCAUCAUUUGUGGCCUGAUUGCUUUGUUCUGCAUUGUGAUUUUCGACCCCACACCUGCUCGUGGGCAAACGAGGACUGUUAAGUUCAGAGAGCCAGAAAAGAUUGAAUGUGGUAUCUGUAAUGCAAUUGCCAAACCAAAUGCACCUCAAGAAGACGUUGAAUUUGAUUCAGAUGGUUUGGUAUUCAAGGUGGAGAAGGAGAUCAGUCCUGACUCCAUUGUGUCUCAGAAAGUAAGAUGGUAGAAGGGGCAACCUUCAGGAAACACAUCUCUGAAACAAUCAACCACUCAGCUUCUCUCCCACUGUGGCUCUUCUGGAAUAAAUGAGGUGAGUUCAUGUCUUCUUAGGUCUGU
Long non-coding RNA from Zonotrichia albicollis (white-throated sparrow), 736 nucleotides. The record is from Ensembl. Lineage: Eukaryota; Metazoa; Chordata; Aves; Passeriformes; Passerellidae.